CAGUGUAAUCAUACGAGCCUUUAAAAGCAGAAGAGGAAGUAGGAAGAGGAAAGCAGAAUGGAUGCAGCAGAAGAGGGAGUCAGCGAGGUUCCAAGAGGCAAGAGCAAAAAGAUGUUGAAGAGUAUGCUAAUUUAUACUUGCUAAUGCAUCACACCUGGUGUAUCCCAAUGAGUGGAGAAAAAAAGUUUAAAGGAGCAGCUGCCAACUUUUCAGAAACACGAUCACCUUCCCUCCUCCUGCAAACAGUAGGUACCAUUAUUUUCUCCAAUUUACUGAUGAAAUAGAGGCAGAAAAUGGCUCCGUAAUUUGCUCAAGUAUUUCGUUGCUCAGCUAGUAAAUGGCAAAGCUGGAACAUGAACUACUAACUUGUACACUCUCCUGCUUCUCCAGAUACACUGAAAAGAGGCAGGCGGCACUGUUCGUGAGAUGCAUGAGCUUUGCACUGUGGUCCAGCACAUCUCUGUUGUAGGCUUCCUCAUGCCUGAUCCUGAAAGGGUCACUCCUACCCUUUCCAAAAACCACUACAGGUACAGCGGGACACUAAUCCCUUCAGGUUCACCUGAUGUUAGGGACCAAAUAAAAGCUUGGAAAGG
This 593-nucleotide long non-coding RNA is filed under the name Homo sapiens (human). Its description in RNAcentral is "HSALNT0088339". Lineage: Eukaryota; Metazoa; Chordata; Mammalia; Primates; Hominidae. The record is from RNAcentral.